AACAGGAUUAGAUACCCUGGUAGCCCACGCCGUAAACGAUGUCGACUUGGAGGUUGUGCCCUUGAGGCGUGGCCUCCGGAGCUAACGCGUUAAGUCGACCGCCUGGGGAGUACGGCCGCAAGGUUAAAACUCAAAUGAAUUGACGGGGGCCCGCACAAGCGGUGGAGCAUGUGGUUUAAUUCGAUGCAACGCGAAGAACCUUACCUGGUCUUGACAUCCACGGAAGUUUUCAGAGAUGAGAAUGUGCCUUCGGGAACCGUGAGACAGGUGCUGCAUGGCUGUCGUCAGCUCGUGUUGUGAAAUGUUGGGUUAAGUCCCGCAACGAGCGCAACCCUUAUCCUUUGUUGCCAGCGGUCCGGCCGGGAACUCAAAGGAGACUGCCAGUGAUAAACUGGAGGAAGGUGGGGAUGACGUCAAGUCAUCAUGGCCCUUACGACCAGGGCUACACACGUGCUACAAUGGCGCAUACAAAGAGAAGCGACCUCGCGAGAGCAAGCGGACCUCAUAAAGUGCGUCGUAGUCCGGAUUGGAGUCUGCAACUCGACUCCAUGAAGUCGGAAUCGCUAGUAAUCGUGGAUCAGAAUGCCACGGUGAAUACGUUCCCGGGCCUUGUACACACCGCCCGUCACACCAUGGGAGUGGGUUGCAAAAGAAGUAGGUAGCUUAACCUUCGGGAGGGCGCUUACCACUUUGUGAUUCAUGACUGGGGUGAAGUCGUAACAAGGUAACC
RNAcentral lists this ribosomal RNA (730 nucleotides) under uncultured bacterium. RNAcentral's name for it is "bacterial SSU rRNA". It matches the Rfam family "Bacterial small subunit ribosomal RNA", at positions 771 to 1501 of the family's 1533-position model. The record is from RNAcentral.